Molecule: long non-coding RNA, 333 nt
Organism: Styela clava
Lineage: Eukaryota; Metazoa; Chordata; Ascidiacea; Stolidobranchia; Styelidae
Source: RefSeq, a predicted model, not a curated record
UUUUUACCUAAAACAGAUUAAUAGAUUCGUUUAUCUGAGGUAACACACUAUAUACCAGAAAUGAAAAUGAAUGUAAAAUUUCUAACUUGCUUAAUUGCAUUUAUUCUGAUCUUCUUGAACUCGUCAGUUAUGGCAUUUAAUGCCAAUGGAUAUAAAGAAGUGCCUCGUGAAUCUAUGGAUCUGGAGAAGUUUGAGAACCUGUUUGAAGAGAACCAGAUUUGAUCAAAUGAACAUUGAACAAUGAAAAGAGGAGAGCAACGUGUUUUGUGUAGUGUUAAAUAUAAUACACCGAUAAUUCUUGUGUGAUUCAUAAUAAUUACCUUUUUGAAUAGA